GGCUUAGAGUUUGAUCAUGGCUCAGGAUGAACGCUGGCGGCGUGCCUAACACAUGCAAGUCGAGCGAAGCACUUUACUUUGAUUCUUCGGAUGAAGAGUUUUGUGACUGAGCGGCGGACGGGUGAGUAACGCGUGGGUAACCUGCCUCAUACAGGGGGAUAACAGUUAGAAAUGACUGCUAAUACCGCAUAAGACCACAGCGCCGCAUGGUGCAGGGGUAAAAACUCCGGUGGUAUGAGAUGGACCCGCGUCUGAUUAGCUAGUUGGUAAGGUAACGGCUUACCAAGGCGACGAUCAGUAGCCGACCUGAGAGGGUGACCGGCCACAUUGGGACUGAGACACGGCCCAAACUCCUACGGGAGGCAGCAGUGGGGAAUAUUGCACAAUGGGGGAAACCCUGAUGCAGCGACGCCGCGUGAGCGAAGAAGUAUUUCGGUAUGUAAAGCUCUAUCAGCAGGGAAGAAACUGACGGUACCUGACUAAGAAGCACCGGCUAAAUACGUGCCAGCAGCCGCGGUAAUACGUAUGGUGCAAGCGUUAUCCGGAUUUACUGGGUGUAAAGGGAGCGUAGACGGAUAGGCAAGUCUGGAGUGAAAGCCCGGGGCUCAACCCCGGGACUGCUUUGGAAACUGUUUAUCUAGAGUGCUGGAGAGGUAAGUG
This 660-nucleotide ribosomal RNA is filed under the name uncultured organism. Its description in RNAcentral is "bacterial SSU rRNA". It matches the Rfam family "Bacterial small subunit ribosomal RNA", at positions 1 to 663 of the family's 1533-position model. The record is from RNAcentral.